Molecule: ribosomal RNA, 253 nt
Filed under: uncultured bacterium
Lineage: Bacteria
Description: partial 16S ribosomal RNA
Rfam family: Bacterial small subunit ribosomal RNA
Source: RNAcentral
UACGUAGGGUGCGAGCGUUGUCCGGAAUUACUGGGCGUAAAGCGCGCGCAGGUGGUCUUUCAAGUCAGUGGUGAAAGCCCGGAGCUCAACUCCGGAAAUGCCAUUGAAACUGUGAGACUUGAGGACGAGAGAGGUGAGUGGAAUUCCCAGUGUAGAGGUGAAAUUCGUAGAUAUUGGGAAGAACACCGGUGGCGAAGGCGGCUCACUGGCUCGUAUCUGACGCUGAGGAGCGAAAGCCAGGGGAGCAAACGGG